UACGAAGGGCGCUAGCGUUGCUCGGAAUCACUGGGCGUAAAGCGCACGUAGGCGGCUUUUUAAGUCAGGGGUGAAAUCCUGGAGCUCAACUCCAGAACUGCCUUUGAUACUGGGAAGCUUGAGUCCGGGAGAGGUGAGUGGAACUCCGAGUGUAGAGGUGAAAUUCGUAGAUAUUCGGAAGAACACCAGUGGCGAAGGCGGCUCACUGGCCCGGUACUGACGCUGAGGUGCGAAAGCGUGGGGAGCAAACAGG
RNAcentral lists this ribosomal RNA (253 nucleotides) under uncultured bacterium. Its description in RNAcentral is "partial 16S ribosomal RNA". It matches the Rfam family "Bacterial small subunit ribosomal RNA", at positions 524 to 776 of the family's 1533-position model. The record is from RNAcentral.